This 731-nucleotide unclassified non-coding RNA is filed under the name Biancaea decapetala. RNAcentral describes it as "partial contains small subunit ribosomal RNA, internal transcribed spacer 1, 5.8S ribosomal RNA, internal transcribed spacer 2, and large subunit ribosomal RNA". Lineage: Eukaryota; Viridiplantae; Streptophyta; Magnoliopsida; Fabales; Fabaceae. The record is from RNAcentral.
UCAUUUAGAGGAAGGAGAAGUCGUAACAAGGUUUCCGUAGGUGAACCUGCGGAAGGAUCAUUGUCGAUGCCUCUCAAGCAGAACGACCCGUGAAUCGUGUACUCAUCAUUGUGGAGGCGGGGGUGCUAGUUGCCCUCGUUUCCUGUGUCGGCGAGAGUUCUAGCGGACUUGUGCUGCUUGACCCUCUUUGACGCAACAACUAACCCCGGCGCCCUGCGCCAAGGAAUUUUGAGAAAAAAGCGUGCCCCUYGGCUGCUCGGAAACGGUGCGGUUUGGGGAGCAUUGCGACAUCGUAUAUAGAACGACUCUCGGCAACGGAUAUCUCGGCUCUCGCAUCGAUGAAGAACGUAGCGAAAUGCGAUACUUGGUGUGAAUUGCAGAAUCCCGUGAACCAUCGAGUCUUUGAACGCAAGUUGCGCCCGAAGCCAUUAGGCCAAGGGCACGUCUGCCUGGGUGUCACACAACGUUGCCCCUCCACCCUCGUCCCUCCCGUAAGGGUCUGGGGGAUGGGCAGAUCAUGGCCUCCCGUGAGCCUCGUCUUGUGGUUGGCCGAAAAUAAAAGCCCUCGGUGGCGAUCGCCACGCUCCUCGGUGGAUGAGCAUGCCUCGAUGCCGGUCGUGCGCGUGUCGUCCCCUAGCUCGGGCUCCAAGACCCUAUCGCGUUGCCUUGUGCCAUUGCGAAACCAACGCGACCCCAGGUCAGGCGGGGCUACCCGCUGAGUUUAAGCAUAU